CCUACGGGAGGCAGCAGUCGAGAAUUUUUGACAAUGGGGGAAACCCUGAUCGAGCGACGCCGCGUGGAGGACGACGGCCUUCGGGUUGUAAACCUCUUUCGCCAGGGACGAAGCGCAAGUGACGGUACCUGGAGAAGAAGCACCGGCCAACUACGUGCCAGCAGCCGCGGUAAU
Molecule: ribosomal RNA, 174 nt
Filed under: uncultured Actinomycetes bacterium
Lineage: Bacteria; Bacillati; Actinomycetota; Actinomycetes
Description: uncultured actinobacterium partial 16S ribosomal RNA
Rfam family: Bacterial small subunit ribosomal RNA
Source: RNAcentral